Molecule: ribosomal RNA, 253 nt
Filed under: uncultured bacterium
Lineage: Bacteria
Description: partial 16S ribosomal RNA
Rfam family: Bacterial small subunit ribosomal RNA
Source: RNAcentral
UACGGGGGGGGCAAGCGUUGUUCGGAAUUACUGGGCGUAAAGGGUUCGUAGGUGGCUUGCUAAGUCGGAUGUGAAAUCUCCAGGCUCAACCUGGAAACUGCAUUGGAAACUACCUUGCUAGAGGGUUUGAGGGGGGACUGGAAUUCUCGGUGUAGCAGUGAAAUGCGUAGAUAUCGAGAGGAACACCAGUGGCGAAGGCGAGUCCCUGGAAAACACCUGACACUGAGGCACGAAAGCUAGGGGAGCAAACAGG